GAUUUUCUUCUCUAAUCUUUUUCUGUUUUGGUUUCUUUAUAAUAUUAUAUUGCUUAAUUGUUGUUUUUGGGAGUUUAAUAAUAAAUUCAAUCAUAGUGCUUGUUGUAACAAAUGUGUGGUUUUGGCCACCGGUAUCUUGUCGGGAUUUUGUUUUUGGUCCAGUGCUCUGUCUGUGGAUUUUUGGACUGGGUUUGAUUAACUUGUGCUCACUCUGAAGGCACAGUUUUUAGCAGGGAAUGAGUGUAUAUUUAUUUAUUUCUUUCAUUCAAGUUAAUUAACCUGAAUCAGGUUCCAUUGAGUUUGCUGCACAUCAUGUGGUGGCUUCUAACGCACCGGUUUGGGAGUUGAGGAUUUAAAGUCAUAUUUCAUCUUUCAUAAAUGGGAGUUUGAUAGUGAACAUCUCGUGCUUGAAAAAGAAAUUCGAUUUUAACCCUUCAUCUCGAUACCACUUGAGUUUUGCUAUAGUGACUUUGUCAGCUCUCCGUUGACAUCAAACUCAAUACCUAAUGCCUAAUGGAACAAAAAAAGCAACCAGAGAUGCUUAUCUUCUGUCACUUCUCCCACGUGAAGAGGAACCCCUGCAAUGAUUACGUGACUAAAAUCCAUCAUAUCCCAGUCCUCGGUUGGUUUGGUUUGUUGCAAAUGCGCAUCUGAAUCAGAAUCGCUCAGCAUUCUUCAUUUCACUACAUGGUCUCUUAUGCCUACCUAGCGGUCUCUUGUACCUCCCUCGUGUUAGAGCUGAAAAUUUUCAAUAUCUUCCUCUUGGUGUCAGCGUUCUUUCAAGGUAGAACUCAUAUAUCUUGAAAGCUACCGUAAAAUGAACUAGGUGUCCAGUUCAUAACCGCUAUUUAGCCCAUGAAUUCUGACUCAUAAUCAAUAUUGAAGACAUGUACAUGUCUUGUAUAGUUGUAACAUACGAACCUAGAAUUUAGAUUAAUUCAGUUAGAAAUUAUUUAGUUAUGUUAUUAUUUUAUUUAUUCUUUUUAUUAAUUAUUCAUUUAUUUAUCUUCAUAUGCUUAUAAUUAUUUAUUUGUUAAAUAAGAUAAUAAACCAGAUUAAGUAGAGUUUUAAAGAGGUUUCCUUUAUCUUGUAUUCUUUAUUUUUAUCGGAUGGAUUUCAAAUUGUUUUAAAAAAGAUUCUGAGAUCAGAACAACACUCAAAUCAGAUCCUAUCUAAACUCCUUCUGAAGAUCACGUAAAUAAGAAACCCUUUCUCCAUAAAACCCCACAUUACUCAGACUCUUCACACACAAAGAUAGGCAGAAAACUCACACCAGCCCAACGUAACAGCUCCUACAAACCUGGAAAACCACUCUCACAGCCAACCAAGGCAACCAACUCGCCAGAAACCGCCACAGAAAGUGCCGACCAGCCCAUUCACGUCGAACCCACUCCCUUCCGGUAAGCCCACGCUGGAAUCUUCUCUUCUUUCUCCCUUCUUGGUUUCGGUUUGACAGAUCUCUCUCUCUCUCUCUCUCUCAUGUCGUACACCAGAAACUGUCGGCCUGCUUGUGCCUCUGUGACCAGUACCAAGACCCACCAGUACCUUGAUUCUCCUUCUCUUGGUCACGAGCUACGACAUGAGAUCUCGGAAGCAGCACUAAGAGAUGGUGAUUAUGAUGAUGCAGAGCUGGAUGGCCAGGAGUAGAUUUAGUAUAAGGACUU
Molecule: long non-coding RNA, 1664 nt
Organism: Carya illinoinensis
Lineage: Eukaryota; Viridiplantae; Streptophyta; Magnoliopsida; Fagales; Juglandaceae
Exons: 3
Source: RefSeq, a predicted model, not a curated record